Molecule: transfer RNA, 72 nt
Filed under: Astyanax mexicanus (Mexican tetra)
Lineage: Eukaryota; Metazoa; Chordata; Actinopteri; Characiformes; Acestrorhamphidae
Rfam family: tRNA
About the family: Transfer RNA (tRNA) molecules are approximately 80 nucleotides in length. Their secondary structure includes four short double-helical elements and three loops (D, anti-codon, and T loops). Further hydrogen bonds mediate the characteristic L-shaped molecular structure. tRNAs have two regions of fundamental functional importance: the anti-codon, which is responsible for specific mRNA codon recognition, and the 3' end, to which the tRNAs corresponding amino acid is attached (by aminoacyl-tRNA synthetases). tRNAs cope with the degeneracy of the genetic code in two manners: having more than one tRNA (with a specific anti-codon) for a particular amino acid; and 'wobble' base-pairing, i.e. permitting non-standard base-pairing at the 3rd anti-codon position.
Source: Rfam by way of RNAcentral
GGGUCUAUAGCUCAGUGGUAGAGCAUUUGAUUGCUGAUCAAGAGGUUCCCGGUUCAAAUCCAGGUGCCCCCU